This 22-nucleotide microRNA is filed under the name Caenorhabditis elegans. RNAcentral describes it as "cel-miR-5550-5p". Lineage: Eukaryota; Metazoa; Nematoda; Chromadorea; Rhabditida; Rhabditidae. The record is from miRBase by way of RNAcentral.
CCCCGCCCAAGAUUUCAUUUGC